CGGUUCUUCCUGUUUGUGCCAGAGACGUCUCUGAAACUAUCCGGAGACGUCUCGGCUGUCUCUGAUCUGUUUUCUUUAACUCAAAAUAUUCUUCAAUAAAUUCAUAAAAAUUAUGGGAACUUGCCUAGGCAUUUCUUAACAAUAUUCUUAAUAAGACACAUGAAUUCCUCAAUUAAAUUGUUAAGAUAUAAUGGAAUUUUACUCUAGUGUUUUGUAUUCAUCAAAAUCUAUUAGGGGGUCAACAAUCUCCCCCUUUUUGAUGAUGACAAAACACUGAGUAUAUGCAAAAUUUGAGAUUUAAACAUAUUGUUGCCCAGAGAUGGUCACCCAAGAGGGGGGUGAAUUGGGUGUUUUAAAAAACUUUUGACUAAUUAAAAAUAACACACACGAAUAUAUGCACUAAAGUAAAGAAGGAGGAAUGAGAAAGGUCAAUCGCAAACACAAGGUUUUAUAGUGGUUCGGAGCUUCCACUGCUCCUACAUCCACUCCCCAAAUCACCUUUGGAAAUUUUCACUAUAAUCCACGAUUACAGUGAACUCUUUAAUAAAGAUAACUUGAAUAUCCUUGAGUGGUUAAUUAUAUUAUACUAUGAAUUGAGUUUUAAGCACCUAAUGAUAAUUUGUCCCCUUCAUUGUUGAUGACAAAAAGGGGGAGUAGAUAUAUAGAAAGAACCAAUAUGGAUAUUGAGAUAUAAUUGAAAGGGGGAGUAGAUAUAUAGAAAGAA
RNAcentral lists this long non-coding RNA (724 nucleotides) under Phoenix dactylifera (date palm). RNAcentral's name for it is "long non-coding RNA (PDAC_LNC018196)". Lineage: Eukaryota; Viridiplantae; Streptophyta; Magnoliopsida; Arecales; Arecaceae. The record is from RNAcentral.